UACAGAGGGGGCGAGCGUUGUUCGGAAUUACUGGGCGUAAAGAGCGCGUAGGCGGCCAGCACAAGUCAGUUGUGAAAUCUCCGAGCUUAACUCGGAACGGUCAACUGAUACUGUGCGGCUAGAGUGCGGAAGGGGCAACUGGAAUUCUUGGUGUAGCGGUGAAAUGCGUAGAUAUCAAGAGGAACACCUGCGGCGAAGGCGGGUUGCUGGGCCGACACUGACGCUGAGGCGCGAAAGCCAGGGGAGCGAACGGG
Molecule: ribosomal RNA, 254 nt
Filed under: uncultured bacterium
Lineage: Bacteria
Description: partial 16S ribosomal RNA
Rfam family: Bacterial small subunit ribosomal RNA
Source: RNAcentral